RNAcentral lists this long non-coding RNA (204 nucleotides) under Elaeis guineensis (African oil palm). Its description in RNAcentral is "long non-coding RNA (EGUI_LNC052834)". The record is from RNAcentral. Lineage: Eukaryota; Viridiplantae; Streptophyta; Magnoliopsida; Arecales; Arecaceae.
CUCUCCCUCUUAAUCUCCUCACUCAAUCAUUUAAUUUUCUAUAAAACAUAAGAAAGGAUUUAGGAUGUGGAAUUGAUCGAUUUGCAUUCAUCAUUUCAAUCGAGAACCAAUAAUCACAAGCUUGGCUUGGAUUCUCAGUGCUACAGGAGGUAAGUAACCAAAUUCCCACGAGAAGUUUAAGAAGAUGGGAUGGAUUGGUCAAGA